GACGAACGCUGGCGGCGUGCUUAACACAUGCAAGUCGAGCGGUAAGGCCCUUUCGGGGUACGACGAGCGGCGAACGGGUGAGUAACACGUGGGUGACCUGCCCUCCAGCUCUGGGAGUAAGCCUGGGAAACCGGGUCUAAUACUGGAUAUGACUCCAUGACGCAUGUUGUGGGGUGGAAAGCCUUGUGCGGCUGAGGAUGGGCCCGCGGCCUAUCAGCUUGUUGGUGGGGUGAGGCCUACCAAGGCGACGACGGGUAGCCGGCCUGAGAGGGCGACCGGCCACACUGGGACUGAGACACGGCCCAGACUCCUACGGGAGGCAGCAGUGGGGAAGUCUUGCGCAAUGGGCGAAAGCCUGACGCAGCGACGCCGCGUGAGGGAUGACGGCCU
RNAcentral lists this ribosomal RNA (390 nucleotides) under uncultured bacterium. RNAcentral describes it as "bacterial SSU rRNA". It matches the Rfam family "Bacterial small subunit ribosomal RNA", at positions 28 to 417 of the family's 1533-position model. The record is from RNAcentral.